Molecule: long non-coding RNA, 1298 nt
Filed under: Fukomys damarensis (Damara mole-rat)
Lineage: Eukaryota; Metazoa; Chordata; Mammalia; Rodentia; Bathyergidae
Description: lncRNA (ENSFDAG00000024390.1)
Source: RNAcentral
AUGCUGGAUAAUUAAUGUGUGAUGGCACUCAGCACAGAGUGAUUUAGUGACUAGUGAGAAAUAAGAUAUAAUCCUGAGGCUUAAAUUAAGCGCACAGAUUGGGGAAGCUGGGUGGAAUUAUUAGUCUUUGUAGGGCAUGGCAGGUUCAAAGGAAUCAGAUGGCAGGUUCAUUCAUCUAAUUUAUUUGACUAUCAACUCUGUGACCAGGUGGCCUGGCCCAGGUAUUCCUGGGUGCCCUUCCUGAUCCUAAGUACUCUCAGAGUAAAAUUGCAACUUGUGUUCACCGGAGACAAAACAAAACCCUCUACCCUAGAAGUUCUAGGUGGCUUUGCCAAUACAAUACAAUACAAUACGGUGGGGUUUCAGAAUGAGGUUCAGGGAGUGUUUCUGCUCUCAGGGGAAUCCUCAGAGGCCAGAGCUCGGGGCAAGGCUUCCUCACUUCUUGGUGGCAUACAAGGAAGCAGGACAGCUGGAGACCACAGGCUCAGAGCACGUUUCAGACACCCUCUUGGAUGUAUCCUAGGGAAUGUCACCCAUCAGGCUGCCAAUCUGACCAGGGAUGUCAGGGGCAGUGUGAAGACUGACUUUUGUAGCAUUUUCAGACCAACAGAUUCACACCUCUGCUGGUAAGAGAUGCUCUCUGGCCUCCUCUGUGCACCUGUGACAAUCCUGCUAACACCAACAGAGCCCCAAACACUUGCUGCAUUUGGUGACUUUGGCAGAAAGGAAAACACCACACUUGAACAUAAUAAAAUACUAUAGAAUACAUUUUACUAAAUUUCAUUGGAAAUUUAACUAUUUGAAUACUUUUAUAUUUUCUGUAUUUAACUAUUUGUUUUAAAGAAGAUACACAAAAUGAGGUGAAAAUAAACAACUCUGCAAACCAAACCUAGCAGAGACUGAAUUUUGCCCCAUGUGAAACAGCUAAAUUCAGUGCAUUUUAAUUACUUUUGUCCCUAUGGGUUCCGCACUUAAAUUCUUCUAUUUCCCCCAUAGGUUGUGAUGAUAAAUUGGCAAGCUGAGUCUCAGUCUCAUACUAGCUGUGAAACCAAACGCAAUGUAUGACAGGCAGGAGUAGCUGAGCACGCUCAGCUUUUUUUUGUCAGCAAGGUGCGAUGAGGAUGUGAUAAAGGACUGCCCACGGCCAGCUCCAAAUGGCUGAGGGCAUCUGCUCACUCUCUGUAUCACGGGAAUGCACGCUGCUUCAAGUGAUAGGCUGCACCCAUGUGGUGAGGCAGUUCCCACCUCCUAUUUUCCUUUCCCAGAUUUUUCAGAAAUCUUUUUUUUUUUUUUUUUUG